AUAAAAAUAAUGCAUUGUAUGCCGGAAGGGAUAAAUCUGGGGCUGAGUACAAGCAAAACAAGACCAAAGGAAGCUACCUGAGCAGGUAUUCCAGAUACUCAUGUCAUACACCAAGGUUGUACCAGUGCCCCUUUCUCUGUGACACAUCCAUCCACUGGAAACUUUCGUACAACUAGCUGAAAGAAGAGAAACAUCCUAUUUCAUGUCACUGGAGCCCUAAUGAUCGCAGCCAUUUCAGGAAAUGCCAUCAAUUACAGUGAGGAGCUCAUUCAGAAGUGAAAGAUGAGUUCCAUUCUCUGUUACUUAGAGGACAAUAGAUUAUAUUGGAUGUAGAUGAAGUUUGGGCAGAAUCAGGGAUCAAUGGCUCCAUCUAAAUUGUUGCACCAAAACACAGACAUACACCUGCUUUUAGAUUUGAAGAGUGAAUCCUCUCUGGAAAAUGUAGCAACUACUCAAAAAAGGUUGGAGGACCAACACUUCUAAGAAGCAGGAGGGUGGAUAUCCUCCUCCACUGAAUGCAAACUAUUAAGUAAUGAAAAGACAGCACUCCAAGCAAUAUAGAUUUAUAGGCCAACCUGGCAAUCAAGGGUAACUGACAUGAAAAUGGAUUGCUUCACAUUUUAAUUACAAAGAUACUCUUCAGUACCAUAAAUUGAAGAAAACACUAACUUUUUGUGGCUACUGUAAUUGUCAAAGUAUAAUUACCUGUGUUUUCUCACCUACGUAUUUGAGAUAGAGACAAAACCAAGUAAGUUAAUCCACUUAUAAU
Molecule: long non-coding RNA, 769 nt
Filed under: Homo sapiens (human)
Lineage: Eukaryota; Metazoa; Chordata; Mammalia; Primates; Hominidae
Description: HSALNT0328700
Source: RNAcentral